This 616-nucleotide long non-coding RNA is filed under the name Coturnix japonica (Japanese quail). RNAcentral describes it as "lncRNA (ENSCJPG00005006481.1)". The record is from RNAcentral. Lineage: Eukaryota; Metazoa; Chordata; Aves; Galliformes; Phasianidae.
UAUAGGAGCCCUGUAGCCCCCUAUCUGCCUUCAUGCCAUGGUUGGAGCCUUCAUCCUCCUCUUCCUCCAUUGGUUUUGCACAUUGGGGUUCCAUCAUGUCACGCACUGAGUCCCAGCUCCCUUCUCUUUGUCUUUGUGCCAUGAUUGGAGCCUUCCUCCUCCUCCUCUUCCUCACAUUUGCCUUCGUGCCACGGUUGGAGCCGCCUUCUUCCUCCUCCUCCUCUUCCUCCUUCUCUUCCUCUUCUUCCUCUUCUUCCCUUCCUCUUCCUCUUCCUCCUCCUCUUUCUCUUCCCUUCCCCUUCCUCUUCCUCCUCCUCUUCCUCUUCCUCUUCCUCCUCCUUUUCCUCUUCCCCUUCCUCCUCCUCUUCCUCCUCGUCCUCCUCUUCCUCCUCCUCUUCCUCUUCCUCCUCCUCCUCUUCCUCCUUCUGACUUGCGGAAUCAAACUCUAUAAUCCAGAGAUGGGUUAUAAAGCAGGUAUGUUUAUUCCAGCGUUGCGCAGCGCCGGGUGCAAGGGGGAUAGCUCCACCAAACUUGCACACCGUAAAGAGAAAAGUGUGUUACAGAUAUAGGUUAAGCUAAUACAUAAUCAAUAGUCUCCUCCUCAGUUUGAUUACAU